Molecule: long non-coding RNA, 741 nt
Organism: Orbicella faveolata
Lineage: Eukaryota; Metazoa; Cnidaria; Anthozoa; Scleractinia; Merulinidae
Source: RefSeq, a predicted model, not a curated record
AUUCUAAACUUAAUGUGAGCGUAUGCUUGUUACAUUAUGAAGAUCUGUCUGAAGUUUCCCGACUGCAAAAGAUGGCGCAAAAUUUAAAUUGGACGUAACUUUAAACUUAAACUGGCCAUUCGGCAGGAACCAAGGGCCACUGUUAUCCGCCAAAUCGUCAGAAAAAAAGCGCGAACAAUCGUUAGGAAGACCGACUCCAAAAUUUGUCACGCCAUCAGGGCAUAAUAAGGACAAGCCAGUCGCGUAGUGAAGCUCUCGUCAGCUAUUCAUCUUCUUCAAUAUUCACACACCAAUGGUACACCCAGGCUUGUUUCUGGGAAUUGACUUGUCAGGAGUUCGUUCAUGUCAGCCUAAGGAUACACUUCUCUCCUGGCAGAAUGUUUCGACAGGUUUCCGAAAUGUCAACGGUUCGUGGACAACGGACAGUGUUGGGAAGAAAGGUUCAGAGCAUGGGUGAAAUCGAGGUGCAGAAAAACCUGUGGAUUCUGUGAAGAGAAUUGCUGGGACACCAAAUAUGGCUGUUGUCCGGACAGCAAAACUGCUGCUGAUGGGCCAGCGAAAGCUGGCUGUGGUGUGAAGUUAUGCGUCGACCUUCAAGACUGUGAAAAGGUCAAAGAUAAGUGCGUCAACAAGUCGGUUUGGUUCAAAAAUAACUGUGCUUAUACUUGCAGGUUCUGCAGUAAGUGUAUACCAAUGAAUUUAAAAAGUGAAAGAAAAAAUCUUGGAAAUUGCGAGGGAUCG